GACGAACGCUGGCGGCGUGCUUUACACAUGCAAGUCGAACGGAAAGGCCCUGCUUGCAGGGUGCUCGAGUGGCGCACGGGUGAGUAACACGUGGGUGAUCUGCCCCUUACUUUGGGAUAAGCCUGGGAAACUGGGUCUAAUACUCGAUAGGACCCUGCUGUAGGUGGUGUGGUGGAAAGAUUAGUUUCGGUAAGGGGUGAGCUGGCGGCCUAUCAGCUUGUUGGUGGGGUAAUGGCCUACCAAGGCGUCGACGGGUAGCCGGCCUGAGAGGGUGGACGGCCACAUUGGGACUGAGAUACGGCCCAGACGCCUACGGGAGGCAGCAGUGGGGAAUAGUGCACAAUGGGAGCGAGCCGGGUGCAGCGACGCCGCGUGGGGGAUGACGGACUUCGGGUUGUAAACUCCUUUCAGCCAUGACGAAGCCCUUGUGGUGACGGUAGUGGUAGAAGAAGCACCGGCUAACUACGUG
This 469-nucleotide ribosomal RNA is filed under the name uncultured bacterium. RNAcentral describes it as "partial 16S ribosomal RNA". It matches the Rfam family "Bacterial small subunit ribosomal RNA", at positions 28 to 507 of the family's 1533-position model. The record is from RNAcentral.